RNAcentral lists this small RNA (28 nucleotides) under Bombyx mori (domestic silkworm). RNAcentral describes it as "ovarian small RNA-11339". Lineage: Eukaryota; Metazoa; Arthropoda; Insecta; Lepidoptera; Bombycidae. The record is from RNAcentral.
ACCUCACGGCCGAAUUGGCGGCCUACAG